This 426-nucleotide ribosomal RNA is filed under the name uncultured bacterium. Its description in RNAcentral is "partial 16S ribosomal RNA". It matches the Rfam family "Bacterial small subunit ribosomal RNA", at positions 33 to 507 of the family's 1533-position model. The record is from RNAcentral.
ACGCUGGCGGCAGGCUUAACACAUGCAAGUCGAACGCCCCGCAAGGGGAGUGGCGGACGGGUGAGUAACGCGUGGGAACAUACCCUUUUCUAGGGAUUACCUUGGGGAACCUGGAAUUAUUACCGAUUACGCCUUCCGGGGGAAAGAUUUAUCGGGGAAGGAUUGGCCCGCGUUGGAUUAGCUAGUUGGUGGGGUAAAGGCCUACCAAGGCGACGAUCCAUAGCUGGUCUGAGAGGAUGAUCAGCCACAUUGGGACUGAGACACGGCCCAAACUCCUACGGGAGGCAGCAGUGGGGAAUAUUGGACAAUGGGCGCAAGCCUGAUCCAGCCAUGCCGCGUGAGUGAUGAAGGCCUUAGGGUUGUAAAGCUCUUUCACCGAUGAAGAUAAUGACGGUAGUCGGAGAAGAAGCCCCGGCUAACUUCGUG